RNAcentral lists this long non-coding RNA (947 nucleotides) under Pogona vitticeps (central bearded dragon). RNAcentral describes it as "lncRNA (ENSPVIG00000011216.1)". The record is from RNAcentral. Lineage: Eukaryota; Metazoa; Chordata; Lepidosauria; Squamata; Agamidae.
CUGCUUCCCAUUAUAAAGUAACUUGGUUGCUGUGUAUCUGAAGUUAUGCUAGUAGACAAUGCAAUUUUCUAUGCCUUAAAUUGCAAAAUGGUCUUGGGUUGGCCCUUGUUUUGCAUCUGCCAGAACUAUUUGGCUAAAGCAUCUGCCAGCAUUUCGUCUCCCAGUAAAACAUUUACACAAGAAUUUGUCCUCUUCUUUUGUUGACAGUUCAGGGUUUGAGAGCAUUAACUCCUAAUUCAGAGAACUCCAGAAUUUCAUAUGGUUCUGCAGUCCUCUUUAGUUCUCAGUGCUCAUUUCAGAUAUUGCCCAUCACGAAUCAAUCAGGAUGCAUAAGCUGCUGCUUCUCGGCCUCUCUGCUUUGCUCUUCUGCACUAUUGCUCAUGGCAUUGUAUGCAACGUCUGUAGUGGUGGAAACGGCAAGCUUUGCUAUUCCAAAGUAGAGUUGUGCAAGACUGACACUGGGAAAUGUUACACGUAUGCAAGCUACCUUGACAAGGAGCUCUAUUACGUCAGUUACGAUUGCCUCCAUCAUGACUAUUUGAUAUGGUAUUGCAAUAAAACUGAAAAGGACGAAAGAUACACCCAUGUUGCGACUUGCUGUGAGACUGAUAAAUGCAAUGGAGAAAUACCCCGUCUGCCUUGGAGCUGAAAUUAAAUGAUUGAAAAGAUCCAGAGAGGGUUGUAAGCUGGCUCUUCUCAAAGAAAAGGACUGCAAACUCACUCUGCUCCCCUUUCUUCAACAUUUGAAUUUUUAAAAAAUUUAACAGAUUGGUCAGAUGUGUGGUGUAGAAAUGGAAUCAAUCAAUCAAUUGAUCGAUCAAUCAAUCAAUCAAAUUGAUGCAAAAACACAAUUUUGAGAUGAAAUUAAAACAAUGAAGGCUUUUGCAUUGGUAAUAAGAGCCACUGUUGAAUCAGGUUUUUCUUAAAUAAAAAUGGUUUUAAAAACA